Molecule: long non-coding RNA, 815 nt
Filed under: Linum usitatissimum (flax)
Lineage: Eukaryota; Viridiplantae; Streptophyta; Magnoliopsida; Malpighiales; Linaceae
Description: long non-coding RNA (LUSI_LNC007215)
Source: RNAcentral
AAAUUUUUUGUAUACAUUUUCUAUGAAUAGUGAUCAUAGAAGGCCCAAUUUAUUCGGCUUUAAUCGAAAAUGACAAAAUCUAGUGGAUUGUGGCAUGAAAAUCAAAUCUCUACUAAUUCCGUCCAUCUCCAUUUGCUAAUAUGGAUACUAAAAAAUGACAUAUAGACAUUAAAAGCUUACGUGAAUUAGCUAACAUAACAUAAUUAUAAUUUUACAAAAUAAAAUAUUUAUUUAACUAUUAAAACUCAAUAAAUAAAACUAAAAAAAAAUCAUCGUCUUCCACGACAUCCCAUCUUCUUUGGCCUCCGUUGGAGAAAUCGAUUCACCGGUUAUUAUAAUUACCAUCGCUCCUUGCAUACGUCAAACUUCUAUGAAGGCGAUACCUAAAUUUCCGCUCCCAAGUUCAUUGCCAUUCAACCAUCGUUUAGAUUCCUAGGCUCACUGGCGAUAAGAUCUAAACUCCAGAAACUUUGAUUCAGAAUCGAAGGUGAUUGAAAUCGAUGAGACAAGUGAAAGGGAAGGCACUUAACAGACCUGCAAGACUUACAAUUCCAUCGAUAAUUCCCCAGGCUCCCAAGUUCACCGGAGAAUAAUGGUGAUCGAUGAUGACGAGGAAGUGGCGGUGAUGAACAAUCUAAGACCCAGGAAUUACGCUUUCUAGGAUUUAAGGGUUCUUUUUUUUGGGAUUAAUUGUAACUUAUUGUUUUUCGUUUUUUCUAGUUACGUAAACUUUUUUGGAUUUUUUUAAUUAAAAAAUAUUAUUAAAUUAUGAUGUGGAGCCUCUAUGGAUGACAAAUCGGACGACACAUUAUCGG